UGGCGGACUCCGCACAGCUCCAUUAUCCCCCUCGGCAGGCCACGAUUACGGCCACGAACCUGCUCCACCUCCUGCGACGGAUACCAUGCGGUUCCCCUGACGAUGGAUGCUGCUCCACCCUUCAUAACAGAUUCCACGUGGCAAGUCGAGGUGAUACCCGCGUGUCCGCUCCACUAUCUUUCGCAAUCAAUUCUCCUGACCAUGGGCGGCCCACUACCAGGCAGUUACGCACGUCGCCAUCAGUCCGUUGCCUCCCCCACCUAUAAAAGGGGGGACUCAGAUACGUUAUUUUUUAAGCUCAUUUCUCUUAUCUCAUAACUCUUCUAAAUUCUCCGUUCGAGCACUCCAUUCUUGUUGAGGC
RNAcentral lists this long non-coding RNA (361 nucleotides) under Elaeis guineensis (African oil palm). Its description in RNAcentral is "long non-coding RNA (EGUI_LNC057371)". Lineage: Eukaryota; Viridiplantae; Streptophyta; Magnoliopsida; Arecales; Arecaceae. The record is from RNAcentral.